RNAcentral lists this small nucleolar RNA (130 nucleotides) under Mola mola (ocean sunfish). RNAcentral describes it as "Small nucleolar RNA SNORA3/SNORA45 family (ENSMMOG00000009118.1)". It matches the Rfam family "Small nucleolar RNA SNORA3/SNORA45 family". Rfam says of the family: The members of this family belong to the H/ACA class of snoRNAs which are thought to guide the sites of modification of uridines to pseudouridines. Lineage: Eukaryota; Metazoa; Chordata; Actinopteri; Tetraodontiformes; Molidae. The record is from Rfam by way of RNAcentral.
GUAGAGACUAGAGUCUCAUCUUGACAUCCUUCAUUGUCUUGGUGUGCUAGAGUCCUCUUAGAGUGAAGACUGGUCCUAUUCACCGACUGACUCUUGUGUAGGUCAGUCAGCCACAUGGGCAGUUACAGUC